CCUACGGGAGGCAGCAGUGGGGAAUAUUGCACAAUGGACGAAAGCCUGAUGCAGCAACGCCGCGUGAAGGAAGACUGGUUUCGGCUCUUAAACUUCUAUCAACAUGGACGAAAGAUAUAACGGUACCUGAAUAAUAAGCCCCCGCUAACUACGUGCCAGCAGCCGCGGUAAUACGUAGGGGGCAAGCGUUAUCCGGAAUUACUGGGUGUACAGGGUGAGUAGGCGGCAUGGUAAGCCAGAUGUGAAAGCCUUGGGCUUAACCCGAGGAUUGCAUUUGGAACUAUCAAGCUAGAGUGCAGGAGAGGAAAGCGGAAUUCCUAGUGUAGCGGUGAAAUGCGUAGAUAUUAGGAAGAACACCAGUGGCGAAGGCGGCUUUCUGGACUGAAACUGACGCUGAGGCACGAAAGCGUGGGGAGCGAACAGGAUUAGAUACCCCAGUAGUC
Molecule: ribosomal RNA, 443 nt
Filed under: uncultured bacterium
Lineage: Bacteria
Description: partial 16S ribosomal RNA
Rfam family: Bacterial small subunit ribosomal RNA
Source: RNAcentral